Molecule: ribosomal RNA, 701 nt
Filed under: Halocaridinides fowleri
Lineage: Eukaryota; Metazoa; Arthropoda; Malacostraca; Decapoda; Atyidae
Description: 12S ribosomal RNA
Rfam family: Microsporidia small subunit ribosomal RNA
Source: RNAcentral
GAUUAGAAUUAAAUGAGUUCAUGCUUAAUCUAGUUUCAUAUAAGAAGGUCGAGGUUAAAUCUGUGCCAGCAGCCGCGGUUAGACUGGUACGGCUAGUAAGAGUUGUUAGGAGAGGUAGUUAAAGUUUGGUUUUUUAGCUAAAGAGUUUAGGGUGGGGUGAAAUCCUUAAAGUAAGUUUCUUUAGAGAGAAAAGAAGUUAUUGAAGCUACGGAAGCUGGAGUUAAAAAUAGGAUUAGAUACCCUAGUAUUUCCAGCCGCAAAUUUUUAGGCUUAGUUAGUAUUAGUUAUUUUCUUAAAAUUUAGAGAAUUUGGCGGUACUUUAGUCUAGUCAGAGGAACCUGUUUCGUAAACGAUAAACCACGAAUUAUCUUACUCUCUUUUGUUUUUCAGCUUGUAUACCGUCAUUUAUCUAACUAACUUUAAAAAAAGUUUAUUGGGAGGGGUUUAGGUAAACUCAGGAUAUUAGAUCAAGGUGCAGCUAAUGGGAGAGGUGAGGAUGGGUUACAAUAAAUUUUAUUUAUUGCGGAAUGACUCUUGAAUAUGGGGUUAUUGAAGAAGGAUUUGAUUGUAAUUGGAUAAUAAUAAGAUUAUUUGAUAUUAGCUCUAAAGUGUGCACACAUCGCCCGUCGCUCUCAUUAGAAUAACGUGAGAUAAGUCGUAACAAAGUAGGCGUACCGGAAGGUGCUCCUAGAUAGAGGUAU